This 509-nucleotide ribosomal RNA is filed under the name uncultured bacterium. RNAcentral describes it as "bacterial SSU rRNA". It matches the Rfam family "Bacterial small subunit ribosomal RNA", at positions 903 to 1397 of the family's 1533-position model. The record is from RNAcentral.
AAAUGAAUUGACGGGGGCCCGCACAAGCAGCGGAGCAUGUGGUUUAAUUCGAAGCAACGCGAAGAACCUUACCAGGGCUUGACAUCCCUCUGGAUGGUAUAGAGAUAUACCAGGCCUGUACUAUUGGUGUACAGGACAGAGGAGACAGGUGGUGCAUGGUUGUCGUCAGCUCGUGUCGUGAGAUGUUGGGUUAAGUCCCGCAACGAGCGCAACCCUUAUCCCUAGUUGCCAGCACGUAGUGGUGGGGACUCUAGGGAGACUGCCGUGGAUAACACGGAGGAAGGUGGGGACGACGUCAAAUCAUCAUGCCCCUUAUGUCCUGGGCUACACACGUGCUACAAUGGCCAGCAACAGAGGGGAGCGAAGCGGUAACGCGGAGCGAAUCCCAAAAACCUGGUCUCAGUUCGGAUUGUGGGCUGCAACUCGCCCACAUGAAGUCGGAGUUGCUAGUAAUCGCGAAUCAGCAUGUCGCGGUGAAUACGUUCCCGGGCCUUGUACACACCGCCCGU